AUUGAACGCUGGCGGCAGGCUUAACACAUGCAAGUCGAGCGGGGUGAUGGUGCUUGCACUAUCACUUAGCGGCGGACGGGUGAGUAAUGCUCAGGAAUCUGCCUAUUAGUGGGGGACAACAUCUCGAAAGGGAUGCUAAUACCGCAUACGUCCUAAGGGAGAAAGCAGGGGAUCACUUGUGACGUUGCGCUUAUAGAUGGACCUAAGUCGGAUUAGCUAGUUGGUGGGGUAAAGGCCUACCAAGGCGACGAUCUGUAGCGGGUCUGAGAGGAUGAUCAGCCACACUGGGACUGAGAAACGGCCCAGACUCCUACGGGAGGCAGCAGUGGGGAAUAUUGGACAAUGGGGGGAACCCUGAUCCAGCCAUGCCGCGUGUGUGAAGAAGGCCUUAUGGUUGUAAAGCACUUUAAGCGAGGAGGAGGCUCUUUUGGUUAAUACCCAAGAUGAGUGGACGUUACUCGCAGAAUAAGCACCGGCUAACUCUGUGCCAGCCGCCGCCGUAA
Molecule: ribosomal RNA, 503 nt
Filed under: uncultured bacterium
Lineage: Bacteria
Description: partial 16S ribosomal RNA
Rfam family: Bacterial small subunit ribosomal RNA
Source: RNAcentral